AUGUACGGAGGAAGAGGGAAAGGGCUCUGGUCCCCUCGGCGUCAUGUCUUCGGUGCCGGUGGCUUCCCAUCCGCUGGUUCUAUCCUCAAGCGCCGAGACACCGGCAUCUCGGAGCAGGGCAACCGAGAUCUAGCUGUUUCCUUCACGGGGGUGCUCACACUGUCUCAUUUGAUUUCAGGUCCCAUUUGUCAGGAUCUCCUGUCUUCUGUUGACCAGCCACUGAAAAUUGCCAGAGACAAGGUUGUGGGAAAGGAUUACCUUUUGUGUGACUACCACAGAGAUGGGGACUCCUAUAGGUCACCGUGGAGCAACAAGUAUGACCCUCCCUUGGAGCAUGGGGCCAUGCCUUCAGCUCGGCUGCCAAAGCUGGAGGUGGAAGCCAACAAUGCCUUUGACCAGUACCGAGACCUGUAUUUUGAAGGCGGCCUCUCAUCUGUCUACCUCUGGGAUCUGGAUCAUGGCUUUGCUGGAGUGAUCCUCAUAAAGAAGGCUGGAGAUGGAUCAAAGAAGAUCAAAGGCUGCUGGGAUUCCAUCCGCGUGGUGGAAGUUCAGGAGAAAUCCAGCGGCCGCACCGCCCGUUACAAGUUGACCUCCACGGUGAUGCUGUGGCUGCAGACCAACAAAUCCGGCUCUGGCACCAUGAACCUCGGAGGCAGCCUCACCAGACAGACGGAGAAACAUGAAACUGUGAGCGACUGCUCCCCACACAUAGCCAAUAUCGGGCGCCUGGUAGAGGACAUGGAAAAUAAAAUCAGAAGUACAUUGAACGAGAACUACUUUGGAAAAACAAAGGAUAUUGUCAACGGGCUGAGGUCUGUGCAGGCUUUUGCAGACAAAUCAAAACAAGAAACUCUGAAGAAUGACCUGGUGGAGGCUUUGAAGAGAAAGCAGCAAUGCUAAACCUCUGCUUUACGCUAACCAGACGCCGUGCACUCGUUAGAGUCCUUUCUUAGAAAACUUGUUUUCUGCUCCCUCCCCUCGUCCCUUCCCUCCCCACAGGUCACACAACAGCUGCAUCACUGACCGCACAGUGCCAUCUCUCCCUGAGAAUAAAGCCCCAUAGCCACCCUCCUCCAGCUCCGAGCCUGCUUCCGCCACACCUCGCUCUCAGCUCUCUCCACAUUUCCAUAGCGACCGUCUGGUUUUUGUUCACUCGGGGGCCCUGUCUUCCUUCCCGUCCCCAAAUUUAUAGGCAUAAAAUCCACUGUCUGCCAGCCUCCCUUCCCUCCCACCUUUUUGUUACAUUGGUGUAAAAAAUG
Molecule: RNA transcript, 1259 nt
Organism: Sapajus apella (tufted capuchin)
Lineage: Eukaryota; Metazoa; Chordata; Mammalia; Primates; Cebidae
Gene name: F-actin-capping protein subunit beta pseudogene
Exons: 2
Source: RefSeq, a predicted model, not a curated record